GUCCACGCCGUAAACGAUGGAUACUAGCUGUUUGGUAGCAAUACUGAGUGGCUAAGCGAAAGUGAUAAGUAUCCCACCUGGGGAGUACGGGCGCAAGCCUGAAACUCAAAGGAAUUGACGGGGGCCCGCACAAGCGGUGGAGCAUGUGGUUUAAUUCGAUGAUACGCGAGGAACCUUACCAGGGCUUAAAUGUAGAUUGACAGGUUUGGAAACAGAUUUUUCUCGGACAAUUUACAAGGUGCUGCAUGGUUGUCGU
Molecule: ribosomal RNA, 256 nt
Filed under: uncultured bacterium
Lineage: Bacteria
Description: partial 16S ribosomal RNA
Rfam family: Bacterial small subunit ribosomal RNA
Source: RNAcentral